ACUCCUACGGGAGGCAGCAGUGGGGAAUAUUGCACAAUGGGCGCAAGCCUGAUGCAGCCAUGCCGCGUGUGUGAAGAAAGGCCUUCGGGUUGUAAAGCACUUUCAGUUGUGAGGAAGGUGGUGUCGUUAAUAGCGGCAUCAUUUGACGUUAGCAACAGAAGAAGCACCGGCUAACUCCGUGCCAGCAGCCGCGGUAAUACGGAGGGUGCGAGCGUUAAUCGGAAUUACUGGGCGUAAAGCGCAUGCAGGUGGUUUGUUAAGUCAGAUGUGAAAGCCCGGGGCUCAACCUCGGAACUGCAUUUGAAACUGGCAGGACUAGAGUACUGUAGAGGGGGGUAGAAUUUCAGGUGUAGCGGUGAAAUGCGUAGAGAUCUAGAAGGAAUACCGGUGGCGAAGGCGGCCCCCCUGGACAGAUACUG
RNAcentral lists this ribosomal RNA (419 nucleotides) under uncultured bacterium. RNAcentral's name for it is "bacterial SSU rRNA". It matches the Rfam family "Bacterial small subunit ribosomal RNA", at positions 335 to 742 of the family's 1533-position model. The record is from RNAcentral.